GACAGAGGGUGCAAACGUUGCUCGGAAUUACUGGGCGUAAAGCGCGUGUAGGCGGAUAGGCAAGUCAGAUGUGAAAUCCCUAGGCUCAACCAAGGAACUGCAUUUGAAACUGCUUGUCUAGAGUGAUGGAGAGGGAAGCGGAAUUCUCGGUGUAGAGGUGAAAUUCGUAGAUAUCGAGAGGAACACCAGUGGCGAAGGCGGCUUCCUGGACAUCAACUGACGCUGAGACGCGAAAGCGUGGGGAGCAAACAGG
RNAcentral lists this unclassified non-coding RNA (253 nucleotides) under uncultured Myxococcales bacterium. RNAcentral's name for it is "contains 16S-23S intergenic spacer region". It matches the Rfam family "Bacterial small subunit ribosomal RNA", at positions 524 to 776 of the family's 1533-position model. Lineage: Bacteria; Pseudomonadati; Myxococcota; Myxococcia; Myxococcales. The record is from RNAcentral.